AGUGAACGCUGGCGGUAGGCCUAACACAUGCAAGUCGAACGGCAGCACAGGAGAGCUUGCUCUCUGGGUGGCGAGUGGCGGACGGGUGAGGAAUACAUCGGAAUCUACUUUUUCGUGGGGGAUAACGUAGGGAAACUUACGCUAAUACCGCAUACGACAUACGGGUGAAAGCAGGGGACCGUCGGGCCUUGCGCGAUUGAAUGAGCCGAUGUGGGAUUAGCUAGUUGGCGGGGUAAAGGCCCACCAAGGCGAAGAUCCGUAGCGGGGCUGAGAGAAUGAUCAGCCACACUGGAACUGAGACACGGUCCAGACUCCUACGGGAGGCAGCAGUGGGGAAUAUUUGACAAUGGGCGCAAGCCUGAUCCAGCCAUACCGCGUGGGUGAAGAAGGCCUUCGGGUUGUAAAGCCCUUUUGUUGGGAAAGAAAUCCAGCUGGCUAAUACCCGGUUGGGAUGACGGUACCCAAGAAUAAGCACCGGCUAACUUCGUGCCAGCCGCCGCCGUAA
This 505-nucleotide ribosomal RNA is filed under the name uncultured bacterium. RNAcentral describes it as "partial 16S ribosomal RNA". It matches the Rfam family "Bacterial small subunit ribosomal RNA", at positions 29 to 523 of the family's 1533-position model. The record is from RNAcentral.